ACGAGGAAUGCUGCAAUGGAGCAAAACCUUGAGCCUUGAGGCCCCCAAUGCAUAACUACGGGGAAGAUGUUAACCCGUAAGUCAGAGCAGGCUGCUUUUGAUGAAGACUCCUCUGAUUGUAUAGGCUGUUGUCACGUCUUCAAAAACAAUGAAGCCAGAGAGGCGCCGUGUACCCUUCCUGUUGCAUGUACUCUUCCUGUUGUCCCUUCAUCCAUGGGAGGAAGUUGACUGACUUUCAGAAAGUACGGCCUGGUUAACACUGAUGUUGGAAGUGAACAUACUGAACUCGUCAUUUAGAAGAGAGAGAUGGAAGUUUGUGGACUGAAUUUACAUGAAAAGGAGUGCUUCUCUGGGCCUUCUGGUACCUGGUAUAGCCGAGAAGUUCCGUGGGCAAAAGACGUGAUGCAGUUCGUUGAAUCCAGCACUCAACCCCAGCACUAUGGAUACAUUUAUGAGAACUCUACCACUGCAGGUGAACUGAAGGACAGGAACAGGCCAUGACUAGGCAGUUGUGACUCAAGCUUAUGCGUCUAAAAUCUAAACUACCAGAGAGGAGUAGGAAGACAAGAACUGAGCAAAGCAGAGACAAAACAAGGGAACAAAGUGGUGAAGGACUGUGGAGUCUGUAGCGAGGCAUGCUGGGAGAUCACUAAGGUCAAGAUAAAAUGGAGCUCUUGGAAACCAGCUGUGGCCCCCCUCCUCCAUCUGUUGGGCUAUGAUUUGGUGGCCAGCCAGUCUUCUUGGGGUCACACUGUCCUUUAAACUUGGGUUUCCAUUUCUCUCACAAACAAUCUUUAACCAAACCACCCUAUACUCUCCCUCUGUGCUGAUGCCUCAUUUCUCCAUAUGGCCCCUUGGCUCUAUGUAAUAUUAAAAUCUCAUAGGAA
Long non-coding RNA from Mesocricetus auratus (golden hamster), 887 nucleotides. RefSeq lists it as uncharacterized. The record is from RefSeq and is a predicted model, not a curated record. Lineage: Eukaryota; Metazoa; Chordata; Mammalia; Rodentia; Cricetidae. The transcript has 3 exons.